Molecule: long non-coding RNA, 1414 nt
Organism: Brassica oleracea var. oleracea
Lineage: Eukaryota; Viridiplantae; Streptophyta; Magnoliopsida; Brassicales; Brassicaceae
Exons: 7
Source: RefSeq, a predicted model, not a curated record
CGUAACCUGAUAAAAAUCCCUAAGCUUUCGACAUUUUCGUCUCCCUUCAUUAUACAAAGACUUUUCAUCUUUGUUGUUAUCGUCUGUGGCACUGGAAAGCAUCCGUUUCUUUUUUCUUCGUGGUUACUCUCCCUUAAUUCAAUCAUCACGAUCUAGCCUUGAAUGCGUGCUUUGAUUAGGAGUCAGUGAAUCUGAGAGUAUAAAUAGGUGAACAUUCUUUCUCUUACAAUCAUCUUAUCGGCAGCGGAGGGUUACAAUCCCAACGAUUUUGCUCGCCGACUUCAAAUCUGGGCGCUAUUCCAACACCGUCGGAGUCCGAUUGUAUAGAUUAUUGGAAGUCUGAAACCUUAAGAAAGGCGGCGAACUCAUGGCCUAUGUGUCUCAUGGCUGGUCGACAUGCUCCUCGGUCGACAAUGAUUCAAAGUUCUGUUAACGCACACUGGCUCAACACCUUCAGGCUCAAUGUACUCUGUUACUGGGUAUUACACGUAGCAACCCAAACUUCAAGCUGUCGGAUUCCAAGCUCUCCAUACGGUUCGAUGAUGAGACCGCCUUUGCUGAGAUUACCGACUCGGUCAAUCCGAUACGAUUGGAGUUGUUUCUGGAAUGAAGAGAAUCUGCUUGCUUUGGCUAACACCAGUACUCAUCUUCCUGACAUCGUUGGCCAGUUGACCGGGAGCAAAGGCAACCAUUAAAAUUCAAAGGGAUGUAUCGGGUUGGCUUGUGGUACGUUCGAUGCAACGACUGCUGCGUUUCUUGAAGAUUACAGAGCUCCAGCCUAGACCCAAAGGUUAUUGUGUCAACCCAAAAAUUGUUGGAGGCCAAGCUUGGAGAAUUUGGAGUUGGACUUUCUGAAAUCAAUGCUAAUAAUGACAAGUUGCAUCACUUUCACAAUGAACUUGUGGAGUUUAAGCUCCUUCUUGAGAAGGCUGGUGAUCUUUUUGCUUCAGCCAGAAGUUAUACCGCUCGAGGCUCUUUUGCUGCAGGAAGUACGAAAUCUUAGUUAACACUCAACUCACGACCAUUUUGCAACUUAACACUGAUAUAAACGGUUGCUUCUUCUACAUGUCCGGGAUAAGAAAAUUACAGCUACACAAUAAACUAAACCGGGCACAAGUGAUGUCAUAAAUAAAAUGGCUUCCAAUAAUCAUGCAUGCUAAUUUAAGAAUAAAUGAGUUACAUACUUCUCUGUUGAUCCAACAAAUCAAGUAAAGCUUGGAUUCCUCAUUGGGCUGGUUGAACGUCUGGUGUGGAGAAGGCUAGCAUCCUAUUACUCAGCUUCUCCUAGACAUUAAAAGUGCGGCAUUUUUCAAUUGCAUGAGUUUGCAUGCUUUCUUAACGUAUAUUUUUUUUGAUGAGUUUGCUUGAAACGCAUAUAACAUGUUUUGUUAUAUAUUUUAAAAAAUAUAUAAAA